This 2333-nucleotide long non-coding RNA is filed under the name Sorghum bicolor (sorghum). RNAcentral describes it as "long non-coding RNA (SBIC_LNC011411)". The record is from RNAcentral. Lineage: Eukaryota; Viridiplantae; Streptophyta; Magnoliopsida; Poales; Poaceae.
CCCUAUCGUUAAAGUUCACCUGCGUGGCUCCAUUUGAGUCACCGACAGGUAGGCCCAGGUGGCCAACUGCUAAGGAGCCCCAUGCCCAUCCGUAAAAACUGCAAGGGCACAUCUGCCAUGAGAAUUGAGUGACGAGGGCGUUAGUGCAAUUAUCCAUGUGAUUUGUUCGGCAUCUCUUAUCCUGUUCCAUUCAAUCUUCAAUGUCCAUUCCGGACCUCGAUUUCCCCGUCGUCAAUUUUGCCCGCCUGCUAGUUGGAGCAAGGAGAGGAAUUCCUCUUAAAUAGCAUAAAUUCUCGCGAAGCUUCCAUUCAUGGCCGCAUUUAAUCAGUUGACUGUUAAUCCUAAGGUGAUUUCAAGCAAUCAUGAUGUGCUCCUUUGUUUGCGUUCUUCAAAUUUGAAGCCACCGUUUUUCUUAUGAUUCUGAAACUGCGGCUUGGAAACCAAUAUGUAGCGCCAUUAGAACUCUUCAAGUCUUCAGUUAUACUAUGAUUCCUGGAAACAAAAGAACAACUUUUAUGUGUUGUCUGAGUGUUAAUGGCUGCAUGCCAUGUGUUUGAUGAAAUAGCUAUAUGAGAUUUUCCAUGGGGUAUGACCGUAUGGGGGAAUUACUGAAUGUCCAUUUUAUUUGAUGAGGAGUCCAACAAUGUUCCUAAAAACCAUCAUGUAAACAUAUUGUUAUUAAGUCUUUAGAAUCCAUCCUUUUAUACCAAGUUGAUAUGGCAUUCAAGGAACUAAGAGUCUUGCCCAUUACUUUCAUUGAGUCCCGUAGAGUUUAGAGUACAAUAGAAACAUUUGCCAGUCCAUUUUGAUGAUAGAACUUCAUACCUUUAACUAUAUAUAUAUACAUAUCUUAGAUGAUGUCUAUUUUAUUUUCUAAUACACAAGAGGGAUGAAGAUCAAAGUUGCACUGCUUACAGGAGAACACCCAAUACCUCCCCUUCUUCUGGCAUUCAUCACAAACAUAGGCCUUAGCCAUGUCCAACUCAAGCACGUGUCUGUGUUUUGGAUCAUUCACUUGGCGAGGCAGCUUGUCUCCUUCCUUUCUGAGGGCUUCAUCCACUUCAGAAACUCUAGAUUCCGUGAAUGGGAAUGCUGUUGCACCAUAAGUUGAUAUUGCUGUCCUGCCAUCUGUUUUUAGAACUUUACCAUCCAAACCAAGUAUCAGGAGUCCUGGGAUGCCCUUGACAGCGAAGAUUCUUGUAAGCUUUUGCCUGGCAGUGUCAGAAUAAGGGAUGGCAAGCCAUGGCAUUGAACUCAUGCUUGCUUGGAAUUCCCCCUUAUUGCGGUCUAUAGAAAUGAAGAUGACCUCGAAGCUUUCAGGUCUCAAGAUUUUCAGCUCAUUAUACACCUCCUUGAGUUGUUUGGUGAAUACAUGGCAAGGUGGGCACCAAUGUGCUCCAAAAUACAGGCCGACUGUCUUGCCAGUAAGGUCAGCUAUAGGAAUCUGAAAAAACAUUGUCAUAGGAGAAAUUGAACUGUAAAAUUAAACCAAAUUAACUAAAUGGUCAGAAUGAAAAAUUCAAAGGAGACAUGGAUCAUGGAUUGACUUAGUAUGGCAACACAGUUACAAACAAUUGUGUAUCAUCUAAAGAAGUGUUUUUGGUUAAUGAUGCUCUGCAAUCUAAUUAUCUGCAAAUUUGUCAAGCCCCAAUGGUGGCUAGUUUGCAAAUGCAUUUUGAGAUAUCACACCCUUUUUCCCAUUUCUAGUUUUGUAUUCUUUAUAUGAUUACAGCUUUAAGCAUAGCUAGAUUAACAAUAUCUAUUAAUCUUCCAUUUCCAAUUUACAUGGUAUAUAUUCUUCUACAAUAAAAUUAGAGAGAUAUUAGGAAGAACAAGAUUGUGCUUGCAUAUUAGCUUCCAUUAUGUGCACUAUUGGGAUCUUGCUAUAAUGCCUUUCGUUUAUUUGCAAGGUUGUGUGUUCUUGUUCCCUGUCAUAGGACAUACCUACUGACACAGUUUCUCAAGUCUGUAUCUAGACUAUUUUCUCACCUGAAUCAUGUCCUAGUUUUUUUAAUCAAACUUGCAAAUGUAGUAUGUAGUAUCAAACAUAUUUCCUAUUAACAGAGGUAUUUCAUGAGUUUUUUUUGUUCACCUUUAUGUCAUCUGCACUUAUGACAUAGUCUCUCUCCUUGCAGCCAAGAAGCUCCUGAAGCUUACCUCCUUUUCUCCUGGCAUCAUCCAUGGCCUCCAGCUCCCUUCUCCUCUGUGCACUGAAGGGGUAUGCAUCUUCUCCAUACUCGUCAACCAGCCUCACUGCAUCCUCUUCAAAUCCCACCCCACUGGAUGGUGUUGCUGACAAAGGGAUCAAUGCGGGGAUAUGCUCAAUGCCAAAG